CGUCACUCCAGUGCCUUGCCGUUCACCUUCGCACCCCUGGGACAGACUACACUCAGUCAUAGGACCUUCUGAAGAGAUCUUUUCACACAUAAAGUCAAUCCUGAGCCCCUCGUGCAGCUGGCUGACGACCACUCGGAGGCCUGUGUGCAGCUCAAAGUCUCCAAAUAUGGCCCAGAUAUUAUGCGGCUCAGCAAUGGAAAGCAGGGACAAGGAUCACACUAAAUCGACGAUUUGGAAUAAGACGGGGGAGACAGGAGACAGAGUAGGCUACGAUUCUCAGCAGCAGAUAUGGAGCUAUGGACUUGAUUAUAUGGGAAUCAGAUAGUUUUUUCUUAC
Long non-coding RNA from Coregonus clupeaformis (lake whitefish), 336 nucleotides. RefSeq lists it as uncharacterized. The transcript is spliced from 3 exons. Lineage: Eukaryota; Metazoa; Chordata; Actinopteri; Salmoniformes; Salmonidae. The record is from RefSeq and is a predicted model, not a curated record.